RNAcentral lists this ribosomal RNA (596 nucleotides) under uncultured eukaryote. RNAcentral's name for it is "eukaryotic LSU rRNA". It matches the Rfam family "Eukaryotic large subunit ribosomal RNA", at positions 1401 to 1971 of the family's 3401-position model. The record is from RNAcentral.
CGUUCGACGCUCGUCGCGCGAGCGGGGGCGGAGCGGCCCGUGGUGCAGAUCUUGGUGGUAGUAGCGAUCACCCAGGCGAGAACCCUGAGGCCGAAGUGGAGAAGGGUUCUCGAGAACGGCACUCGCUCGAGAGUUAGUCGAUCCUAAGCUGCCGGCGGCAGCCACGAAACGGUCGAUCGGGGCGCGAGCCCGGCAGCCACGACCGGGCAGCGAAGGGAAUUGGGAACCUCCUUCCCAAACCCGGAACCGGAACGAGGGCGGCGACGCGAACGAAACGGCCGCGGAGACGGCGGCCGCGGCCCCCGGAGAGAGUUCUCUUUUCUGUGCGACUGGACGUCGGCCCCGGAAUCGCGUCGAGCGGAGGGGGGUCGGAGUUCAGGAAUAGCACCCCGGCCUUUCGGGGUGUCCGGGCGGCCGCGGUCGUCCCAUGAAAAUCCGCGGAUGAACGAGUAGGCGACGGUCCGGGUCGUACCAAUGACCGCAUCGGGUCUCCAAGGUUGAAAGCCUCUGGCUAACGGGACAACGUAGGUAAGGGAAGUCGGCAAAUUGGAUCCGUAACUUCGGGAAAAGGAUUGGCUCUAAAGGUCGGGCCCGGG